AUGUCCAGGAGAUCUGAAUGGGCUUUCCUUCUGAACAGCCGCAAAGUCUUCAGGUGCCUGCAGAAGAUGGUGUUACUAUUAGUUUGACACCUGAGGACUUUGCGGCUGUUCAGAAGGAAAGCCCACUCAGAUCUCCUGGACAU
Molecule: non-coding RNA, 143 nt
Organism: Xyrichtys novacula (pearly razorfish)
Lineage: Eukaryota; Metazoa; Chordata; Actinopteri; Labriformes; Labridae
Source: the annotation of a GenBank genome assembly